GGUUGGAAGGCGAGCGUGCGAGCAGGCGCGGUGUUGUGUGUUCCUCAGUGCAGGUAUGUGCAGGGAAAGGCUUACCAACAUGGCGGACAAGUGGCGUCAGUACUCACCCCUGCUUCUCAUCCUCGACUUGAAAUCUAUGCCACUGGCCAAAUCGUCGACUAUUUUCAAAGUCUUCUGCAUCCACUCUCAGUAUGUGAGGCUCCCUGGAGGUUCGUUGGCAUUGUGCGUUUUGAUCUUCACUCGUGCCAUCCUUGUUACAUGUCAAUACAAUAAUAUAACCUACAAGGGGCCGAGGCCCGACACACAACACAACUAAAGGACAGAAAAUGGAAGGAGCCUACCUAUGUACCUCAGUUCAGCAGUCCAGCAGCCUCUAAAAGCCCACGCAACUGCCCUGCAUGAGGUACGACCUGACCCUAUCCAACGUUUUUGCUGGAACCUUCCUCACUGGCUUAAUUAAGGCAGCUGCCCUUCUAAGGGCCCCCCUUGAGGCACUGCCCGCGGGGUUCACCUUCACCAGUGAGGAGGACACUAAGGGCGAAAAGAGAAAUACAGUGGAGAGAAAAGAUGCCUGGGCGGGACUCAACAACACCAACACCACCACCACGGAGUCCCCGGUACACAGGGCUUGGGAGGGUUCCCAGGUGGAAUUCUCCCUGUUGUGCAGGACAAGCACAGACGUCACUGGCAGGAUGUAGGUAGCUGGCAGUGUGGCGGGGCACAGCGGUGUUUCCACUCGCCCUCAGACCUUCACGUGGCACUCCCUAUAUAAGGCACACCAUUCUGUCUAAUCUUUUAAAGCUCCCUAGUGACUCAGCACCCACAGCCACAUUACGGAGUCCACCUGUUCAUCCACCACUCUAUCUGAGAACCACUUCCCUCCUGUCUAUUUCUCAAACGUAUUUUUUAUUCAAGUUUGCAUCGU
Long non-coding RNA from Scylla paramamosain (green mud crab), 925 nucleotides. RefSeq lists it as uncharacterized. Lineage: Eukaryota; Metazoa; Arthropoda; Malacostraca; Decapoda; Portunidae. The record is from RefSeq and is a predicted model, not a curated record. The transcript has 3 exons.